This 67-nucleotide transfer RNA is filed under the name Ninguta schrenckii. RNAcentral describes it as "tRNA-Phe". Lineage: Eukaryota; Metazoa; Arthropoda; Insecta; Lepidoptera; Nymphalidae. The record is from RNAcentral.
AUUUUAAUAGCUUAUGAUUAGAGUGUAAUAUUGAAGAUAUUAAGGUGAUUUAUAUAAUCUUAAAAUA